This 465-nucleotide ribosomal RNA is filed under the name uncultured bacterium. RNAcentral describes it as "partial 16S ribosomal RNA". It matches the Rfam family "Bacterial small subunit ribosomal RNA", at positions 28 to 507 of the family's 1533-position model. The record is from RNAcentral.
GACGAACGCUGGCGGCGUGCUUAACACAUGCAAGUCGUACGGUAAGGCCCUUUCGGGGGUACACGAGUGGCGAACGGGUGAGUAACACGUGAGUAACCUGCCCACAACUUUGGGAUAACGCUAGGAAACUGGUGCUAAUACUGGAUAUGUGCUCCUGCUGCAUGGUGGGGGUUGGAAAGCUCCGGCGGUUGUGGAUGGACUCGCGGCCUAUCAUCUUGUUGGUGGGGUAGUGGCCUACCAAGGCGGCGACGGGUAGCCGGCCUGAGAGGGUGACCGGCCACAUUGGGACUGAGAUACGGCCCAGACUCCUACGGGAGGCAGCAGUGGGGAAUAUUGCACAAUGGGCGCAAGCCUGAUGCAGCAACGCCGCGUGCGGGAUGACGGCCUUCGGGUUGUAAACCGCUUUCAGCAGGGACGAAGCUUUUUGUGACGGUACCUGCAGAAGAAGCACCGGCUAACUACGUG